RNAcentral lists this ribosomal RNA (403 nucleotides) under uncultured bacterium. RNAcentral's name for it is "bacterial SSU rRNA". It matches the Rfam family "Bacterial small subunit ribosomal RNA", at positions 102 to 518 of the family's 1533-position model. The record is from RNAcentral.
ACGGGUGACGUAACGCGUGGGUAACCUGCCUACAUACAGGGGGAUAACAGUAGAAAUGACUGCUAACACCGCAUAAUAUAGUGAAACCGCAUGAUUUUGCUAUCAAAUAUUUAUAGGUAUGAGAUGGGCCCGCGUCUGAUUUAGCUAGUUGGUGGGGUAAAAGCCUACCAAGGCGACGAUCAGUAGCCGGCUUGAGAGAGUGACCGGCCACAUUGGGACUGAGACACGGCCCAAACUCCUACGGGAGGCAGCAGUGGGGAAUAUUGGACAAGUGGGGGAAACCCUGAUCCAGCCGACGCCGUCGUGAGUGAAGAAGUAUUUCGGUAUGUAAAGCUCUAUCAGCAGGGAAGAUAAUGACAGUACCUGACUAAGAAGCCCCGGCUAACUACGUGCCAGCCGCCGC